Artibeus jamaicensis (Jamaican fruit-eating bat) is the source of this 2974-nucleotide RNA transcript. RefSeq lists it as uncharacterized. The record is from RefSeq and is a predicted model, not a curated record. The transcript is spliced from 5 exons. Lineage: Eukaryota; Metazoa; Chordata; Mammalia; Chiroptera; Phyllostomidae.
UUCUAGAGCUGAGGUGUAGGUGCCAUUUGAAAAGCAAAGCAUAUUUAGCACCACAAUUUAAUACUUUGAAACGAAUACAAUACUUUUGUAAAAACAAUGGAAACAUAAGAUUUUUGAAUAGGAGGGUGUGCAGUGGUCAUGUCCUUCGUGGGAGAAGGGGCAACACCUUUUUGUGUUUUCAUGGAAGGGUACUGGGAAGGGGCCUUGUAGGAUUGCGUGGGGCUGGAACAUGUCUCUCUUGGUGGCGGGGCUGGCAGGGUGGGGCUUUCCUUCCCCCAUGGCGAUGGAAACAAGGAGCAGUCAGGUGGCUGUGCCCAGCAGCUUGAGAAUGGCCGAAGGAGGACACCCAGAACCUCUGAUGACACCAGUUCCCGUUAGAAUGACAGACCCUGCAGCCCGCAUACUUUCAAGGCAUGCAGACAUUGUACGCUCUGAGGGUGGGAGCCGCCGCUCUGAGGACAGCUUCUGCAAGGAGAGUUUAAAACCACCAGCUGCUGUGUCUGACCCCUUGGGCAGCCCAAAGAGAGGAUGGCCGAAGAAGUCUGAAACAAACAGGCAGAAAUAGCCAGAGUGUGAAAGUGUCUUCAAAGGACACCCUCGGAUUGGUGGAGCAGGAGAUCAGAUCAGGAUGGGCCUCAUCACAGAGGCCUGAGCCCAGUUUUCUGCCCCCUGCAGCUGAAUUCCUAACUGGGAUGCGUGAAAAUUCCGAUCCAGGAUGUUGGACUCUAAACACUGUGCUCCCGGCCCAUCUGCGCCGCUUCCUCUGCACCGAAGCCUGCCGGCGGCUGCCCUCACUUGUCCAAGGAGCCCGUGGCCAGUUCUCCAUGGCGACCAGGUCCACCUGCCCGGGAGGUCUCGGUCACCACGCCUGCUGAAUUCUCUGCGUCGCACACCUGAGAGGCAAACUCCAUUUCCCAAACAGCCCAAGUGGAAGUCUGGGUCCCGUAUGUUUUGUUCGCCUCUCGCCACUGCCCUCACCCCCAGGUCCAAACGCCAUGCUGACCCAGGAGAGGUGGGAAUAGGAGCAAGGUGGGGCAGGUGAGUAGACCUUUCUGGGUCUCCUUCGCUUUCCUCUCUGUCUUAGCUCGGGCUGCUGUAACAGGACGACACACACUGGGUGGCUUAUAAACAACAGAACUCAGUAUCUGGAGGCUGGAAGUCCAAGGUCAAGGCAACGGAGGUUUUGGUGUCUGGUGGGGGCCUGCUUCGUAGAGGACAGUCUUCUUCCUGUGUCCCCAUGUGGCCUCUUCUGUAAGGGCACUAAUCUCACUCAUCAGGGCUCCACCCUCUUGACCUAAUCACCUCCUCGAUGUCCUACCUCCAGCUGGGAGCGCCUCGGGAUUAGGUGUCGACGUGUGAAGUGGGGGGCACAAACCCUUGGUCUGCAGCCUUUCCGUUCCCAGCCACUCUCUGGACUCACUCCGGUCCCACACUUUUCCCUCCACCCUCCUAGCUUUCACCCUGGUAGGUCCUCCCCAGCCAUCAAGGGCUGCACAGGGGUGUCUGCUCAGCAAAGCCACGGACAGCCGGCUGGGGUGGUGAGUUCAUCUGCCCGGCAAGCUUUCCCACACUCCUCUGGGUUUCUCUGGAGCAUGCCCUAGUGCCACGUGCUGUCAGUCACGGCCCCGCCCCUGCCACGGGGGUGGUCAGGACACAGGCAGACCAGUCAGACAGUCCAGCCCCCAUGGCCACCGAGAUUGGCUCAGGGGUGGGCACGUGAUGCAAAGAGGAGCAGUCAGACUCUUUGCCGAGACUGAUGUGAGAAUAUUGCAAGCGAGAGGUGCUCUUCUCACCGCCGUGGCUCACCUGGCACGUCGCGAGCUCGCAGCCGCGGGGGACCAUUCUGCCUGCCUUGGAAGAGCACCUCUGUGCCGAAGAAAACCAGGUACAGACAGAGCUUCUGUUGCAGCUGAGCCUGGAGCAUAGCCCUGGGCUUCCUGCGUUUUAUUUGAGCUGGUUAGACAUGGGGUUCUGUUCUUGGCACCUGAAGGAGACCUGACCUGGAUAACCUCUCUGACCCUAGGGCCCCCCACCUUGUACAGUUUUGGAGUUAGUAGCCCAUUUUUUCUUCUCUGCACAUUGUCACCACUUGCUGCUGUUCCCCUCAGGGGGACCUCCCACAGCCCCUCAGCCAUCGGUCAUUACAGUUAGUGAAGGGCGACUGAGUGAACGAGGCAGGGGUGAGCCUACGGCCGCCUUGAGCCCCUUCCUGCAGCUGCUACCACUUCUACCUAAGGACCUGCUGCGUCUGAACUUCCUUUGCGAAGAGACCUUUGAAGAGAACAAGCAGACCGAGCCCCACCGGCCUGCAUUCCUGCUUCGGGAGUGAGGCUGGGCUUGCGGGCAGUGCCUCUGCGAUCCGGGUGAUCCGGGCCUGACCGGCCUCGGGCCGAGAGGACAGACAGAACUGUUUCUGGAGCAACGAGAGGGCCCAAAGCCACAGCACCAGCACCUGCCAGGGACAGCUGGCAUCAGAAUGCAUCUUGGCCCCUUAGAAGGCAGCCAGGAGGUCAGAGGCGGGCCCUGCUGUGGUCGUGGGGCCAUGGCUGGGGACGGCGGGCCCGUUGGAAUGGGUAGAAAGCUGAGUUCCUGCCAGGAAGCUUGACCAUCUACAGCCCCUGCUCCCUGGGAAAAGUUCAGAUUUAUUUACUGUGUCGCCACCCUGGGCACCGUCUUCAGUGUGGCUGCAGGAAUAAAAGUUAUGGCUUUGGGAAAAAAAAGGAAUCAGAGGAGCAGCAUGCUUCCAGGUCCGCAACUUGAGGAAGCUUGGCAGGUGGUUGGAGAAAUGUUUCCCUGUAGUAAAUUAGACAGUGUUUUAUUUUUCCUUUAGCUAGUCUUUCAUAAUAAAUUCUACUGCGGGGCGGUGGGCAGGGUUCUUUCAAGUGAUUCUUUCCUGAAACAUAACACCUGCUGGUCUCGAGGGCCAGCAAGGGCGCUUGAUAAGUCUGAUAUUGAUGGAAAUAAAAUAUUUACA